UUAUUAUUAAUGGCUAAAUUAGUUAAAUCAUUUUAUUAUUUUAAUUUCACUGAUCAAGCCCCUUAUUGUUAUAAGCUGCUCUUGGAACACUGGUGAAGGUCCAAGCAAGACGGUCACAUUGUGGAAUCAAAGAGGGCCAGCAGUCUACAACCUUUAGAAGAGGAGUUUUUAAAAAAUGGGCUCUUGUUGGCAAGUGGAUAGAAGCAGAGAUGGUAGUGAGAGUGGAAGGAACGUGCUGUCCAUCCAGGAGAAGUCUGUCUUCUGCAGUGACUGAAUCCUGGCAGGAGGAAUUUCCAUUGUGUUUGCUGCAUCAGAGGCUCCGCUAUAAAAUGCUGACCAACCAAAGUGAGGGCGCUAGUAUACUACCAUUCUGUAAGCCUACUACAUCACACAAUGGUAAUGGAAAGAUUAAAGGGAAAAAAAACUGAACACUACCUUAAUCGCACAAUGGUAAUAAAAAGAGAAAUAAAGAACUGAACACUACCUUAAUCUUACAAUAGUAAUGGAAAGAGGAAAAAAAGAACUGAACACUACCUUAAUCGCACAAUGGUAAUAAAAAGAGAGAAAAAAGAACUGAACACUGCUGUAGCGUGUCCUACGGAUCAGGGUUCGAUGCUGGUAUAGAAUCACACACAGCCGCAACUCGCUGUUCUGGUCACGAAAUCUCUGUUUUAUUGUUGUAGCGUCCACAACAAUGCGUUUUUCAGCUAAGCUCUAAACACGGCGCCUCUCGACAGGGACUGCACAGGCACGAGGCAGGAAAACUGCGGGCCGUUCGCAUUCCAGCGCGGGCAGCCAGCCAACUCCAUGUGGGUCCGAGCUGGUGCCCCCACCGGCCGGACCCGCCGGCGCUACACCCCCCCACCUCCGAGGACCCUUGUUCUUCCCCGAACGAGGUGGCGCAACCCGGCGGGCCAGCCCGAGGCCAUCCCGGUCGCCCCUGCACAGCUUACAGGCAGUGGAAUAACAAGCAACUGGGUUCCAAGGGUCUUCUCCGUUACCAUGGGGAGGAUCCAGGGGUCCAGUGUGGAGGAGACUCCGGUCGCCGUGCUGCCCCCCGGCGUUG
Molecule: long non-coding RNA, 1066 nt
Organism: Acanthaster planci (crown-of-thorns starfish)
Lineage: Eukaryota; Metazoa; Echinodermata; Asteroidea; Valvatida; Acanthasteridae
Source: RefSeq, a predicted model, not a curated record